UUCCUAGAAACAGAGAAACAUAUCCAGAUCGAGAUAGGGAGAAAGAGAAAGGGAGAAUCAGAAAGUGAUUGCGGGCUUUCAACUUCCGAUCUAAAUCCAUUGAGGGAUAAAUAAACAUCAAAUUUGUAAGAUUAUUAGGUUUCUGAUACAGUUUAAUGGGCUCAAGUGAAACUCUUCAUGAAUAUCUCUUCAAGCUUAGUUCAGUAAAAAUCUAUUUGAUCUUCAAUUUGUAACGCCAAACAGGUUUGAUUCUCAUUUUUUGUGUUUUCAUUCUAUUUUUUGCCUUCUCCAAUUUUGCUCACAGUUUUGGUCAAUUUUUAUGGGAAAUAAUUAUUAUUGUUAGUCAAGUUUGUGUAGUUAACAUUUGAGUAGACUUUAAAUGAAACACUCAAAGAAAUAUUUAAUUUCGGAGCUCAAUCUUUAAUUAAGAAAAACUAAAUUCAUUAUAACUUUCAAUUUUAAGGUAAUCUGUGAUUAUUUACAUUUUAGUGGAUCCAUAGUAGUUUUACAAUAGGUUAUAGGUUAGUAUUUUAUGACAUUUCACCGUCAUAGUUUGGGAGGAUAUGAUGGAUAAGUGUAUAUAGAGAUUAUGGAAUAGAAACAAGAAUUUAGAUCACAGUAACUCACGGCAUAUGAUGAGAGGAGCAUUUCGUAAACUAUUCAGUACUUGUGCUAGAGUUAGCCGUGGCUAGGUUAUCUUUCCUGUUCGUUGUAAGGAUCAUACCAGCCGCAACAACGCUCAGGAAGCCAUUUGCCGUGCCAAAUUCAAGUAGCCUGGACGUCAAAAGAUCAUUGUCAGCAGGCAGUGGAGAUUCACAAAAUGCAUCCAUACCGAUUACGUGAAAAGGAAGUUAGAGAACAGAAUUGUUCCAAAUGGUGUCAAUCCUAAGGGCACCUUCUUCUAGACAAGGAUGACAUGUUUCUUGAGUGAGUCUGGGCAGCAGUAGAGGAAGAGGAGCGCCAAUCUGCUGCUGCGGAUAAUACUCACGCUGCUAAGGAUACCACUGCAACACCUGAGGAAUGCAAGAAAGCCAUCCAAAGUGUUGGGCCUGAGCUAAAAGAUGGCAGUCAUAAUAUGAUGGAGUUGUUACAGACGAGGUCACUGAACUGAAAUGGAUGGUAGCUCCGCUGUAGCGACAAAGGCAGAACCUGAGCAGAAACUAUUGGAAGCAAAGGGUUAUGGCAAGGCCUAUGAUUCUGUAGAAACUUUACCGCUUGUUAGUUCCCUCCCACCUCUACAUUCAAGAUUUAUCAUGUGAUAGAGUAAAACAACACAAGCAGACAAAACAUUGAGUACCAACAUCUUCAUUUGGUAUUUUAAAGGUUUCUUUGCUCAAUGGUUUUUCCCCA
Molecule: long non-coding RNA, 1350 nt
Organism: Papaver somniferum (opium poppy)
Lineage: Eukaryota; Viridiplantae; Streptophyta; Magnoliopsida; Ranunculales; Papaveraceae
Exons: 3
Source: RefSeq, a predicted model, not a curated record